UACGUAGGGUGCGAGCGUUGUCCGGAAUUACUGGGCGUAAAGAGCUCGUAGGUGGUUUGUCGCGUUGUUCGUGAAAACUCACAGCUCAACUGUGGGCGUGCGGGCGAUACGGGCAGACUGGAGUACUGCAGGGGAGACUGGAAUUCCUGGUGUAGCGGUGGAAUGCGCAGAUAUCAGGAGGAAUACCAGCGGCGAAGGCGGCCUUCUGGACGGUGACUGACGCUGAGACGCGAAAGCGUGGGGAGCAAACAGG
This 253-nucleotide ribosomal RNA is filed under the name uncultured bacterium. Its description in RNAcentral is "partial 16S ribosomal RNA". It matches the Rfam family "Bacterial small subunit ribosomal RNA", at positions 524 to 776 of the family's 1533-position model. The record is from RNAcentral.